AACGCUGGCGGCGUGCUUAACACAUGCAAGUCGAACGGAAAGGCCCUGCUUUUGUGGGGUGCUCGAGUGGCGAACGGGUGAGUAACACGUGAGUAACCUGCCCUUGACUUUGGGAUAACUUCAGGAAACUGGGGCUAAUACCGGAUAGGAGCUCCUGCUGCAUGGUGGGGGUUGGAAAGUUUCGGCGGUUGGGGAUGGACUCGCGGCUUAUCAGCUUGUUGGUGGGGUAGUGGCUUACCAAGGCUUUGACGGGUAGCCGGCCUGAGAGGGUGACCGGCCACAUUGGGACUGAGAUACGGCCCAGACUCCUACGGGAGGCAACAGUGGGGAAUAUUGCACAAUGGGCGGAAGCCUGAUGCAGCAACGCCGCGUGCGGGAUGACGGCCUUCGGGUUGUAAACCGCUUUCGCCUGUGACGAAGCGUGAGUGACGGUAAUGGGUAAAGAAGCACCGGCUAACUACGU
RNAcentral lists this ribosomal RNA (463 nucleotides) under uncultured bacterium. RNAcentral's name for it is "partial 16S ribosomal RNA". It matches the Rfam family "Bacterial small subunit ribosomal RNA", at positions 32 to 506 of the family's 1533-position model. The record is from RNAcentral.